UUUCUGUUGCUGCAGAAAUGUAGAAGAGGGGUUGUGUUUUUAAAAAAUUUCCUCCAAAAUAAAAGCAAACAACAGCCUCUCUACACAAGUAAUGUCUAAAUCUUUAAUGCUAUUUGGAUUCUUCUGUUUACUCGUCGAUUUGACACCAAAGUCCUUAAAUCCCAAAAUACACCCAACCAAAUUUAUACUGAAACGAUACUGCUGAGAGCAGCAAAAGGGAAAACAAGACUCAGUCACACUGCACGCCACACAGAAAUGUUAGCUUUAUCUUUAGCACACGGCUCGGUCAAUAGUCUGCUGGGUCCACUGGCCCACAGAGGGGUUCAAGGUUGCAUGGAAAUUAAUCAGCAACUAACCUCCCCGCGCCACCUCAGGUCUGCAGCCAAGACCUGACUUAGUUAGAGAUAAUCCUAAACAAACCUGAUUUAACCCUCAAGUGGAAAAAAUGGAGAAGUCAGAGAGUGGGAGUGACGAAAAAGGUUCAACAAACACGAUAGAUAAGUCAUCAAAUGGUUUGCAGUGGAAUUUACCAAACCCUUCGACUGCAUUUCAGUGUGUGUGCACAAAAUGAAACCUUUACAUCACAAGCAACACAAACCCCAGACAGAGAGGAUAAAGACAGAGGCAUGGUGGGAUUUGUGUGUGUAAUCCAUGACAGUUCAGGGAGGGGAGUGUUAUCCAACUUCAAAAAAAACAGAGAGGAGGAAAAAACACCUCUGCGGGUGUCUUCACAGGUGACAAAUGUAACAUUAUAACCCUGAAAAGUCAUUUUAUAUCCUCCAGAUUAGGUAGACAAAGUCUUUGUGAAGUGAGGGAUGACAUUUUGAAAAUACUGGAUGUUUCAACACACUCAAUGGUGGAACAGUUAAGCUUUGAAAAUGUUGUGCAACAUCCCCUCUUUCCAACACAUCAUCACUCGAAGAAUGCUACACCCACAACUAAAUAAGACAUUGUUAUCCCUCUUGAAGAAGACAAUAGCUGUGACGAGAUGUUGCCUGGCUUUGGGAGUUCACAAAGCUUGAAGUAAAACAGAGUAAGCGUGACUGUUUCCAAUUUUCAUGAAAAGUCUUAUUAAAAAAAUCAAAUCGACACAGAAAUGGUAUCAGGCCUCAAACAAUGUGAUCUCAGAGUCUCUGCAGAUAUGUGAUUCAGCACAGGUUUUUUAUUAGCUGUCAAAACUGGCAGAGAGUCACUCAAACAUUCUCAGGAUUUUUUCUUCGAUGACCCCCGUUUCCGACUGGAGCCCCUGCGCAGUCUUUCCCUGUUCUUGGCUCCCAUGCUGACAGGAGAGAGGGAAAUUCCCACACAGGAUGACCUCUUUUCUUCAAAGUUUAGCCCGGCCCCUUCUCCACUUUUUACCGUCAAUGGGCAGUGUCUGUCCGUAAAAUCCUCAUUGCAUCACAGCCCCUGUACAGGCCAACUGUCCUCCUAAAAAACUCCUCUGAUAACGCAAUACAAACACACACACACAGACACACACACACACACACACACACACACACACACACACACACACACACACACACACACACACACACACACACACACACACACCUGUCAUUUAAAAGUUCUCUCUGUUCUUGUGGUUGAGAAAUGGGAGAAGAUUUGCUUGACCAGUGAUUCAUGUCAGUGUUUUCUGCUUACCUCUCAUAAAGUAGUUUGUUCCUUAAAAUAUUCCCCGACCCCCUUCGCUCUGGUUGUGUUUUCCAAGUUUAGUAAGUUGAUUAAAUCAAUGAACUGAUGAGUUCAAGAUGUCACAAACAAAUAGUUGAUUUAAUAAUCUGUAUGUUAAAAACUAGAGAGAAUAAUGGAGCAGACUUUAGUGUUAAUAGGAUAGCAGCUCAUCAUAAUCAGUGUGUAACAAUCACAAUGCUGUCUUACUUUGGUCUGUAUGUUUUCAAAUGUUUAGGUUUUGCAUCUGUUCAGAAAUAGACUGACAAUAAUCACUGUCUUUUUUUAUUCUGAAAAAUCCAGCCGUCAGUGUGUUCGUCUGGUCUGUGUCCGCAUUUAUGCUCCCCUGUCCUUCCUCUUUCUUUCUUUAGAGUUUAAAGUUUAUAACUUUUUAAAAGAGGUCACAAAAGCAUCGUUAUUAUUUCCAUUUAUUCCUUAAACCUGCUGGGCUCAGUGUUUACACUGUAUAAUGUCUAACAGGAGCGCAGAGGAUUGUGAAAGCGUCUUCUUGCUCAUGCGAUGUGAUUCUUGGUCGUGUUUUGGACUGUGAGCCAAAUGAAUGUGACAAAAUGAAACACAAAUCUGUGUUGUAGUUUCAUCCUCAGCUCUGUGGCAAUUCACACACUCCAAAAUAGAGCUCUGCUCUUUUUUGUGAUGUGGUAAUAUAACAAAAGCCAGCAGUCUGACUAGAUGCACCUGUCUGCUAAGCUUGUAGGUGAUACUGUAGCUUAAGCUUGGUUGAGCUAUGGUACGUUUUAAUUCUAUUAAAAGAGAAGGAACUUUUCUUUUGACUCUCUAAUUGAACAGCCUGGGAAUUUUUAAAAGGGAAAUGUGCCGUUCAGAAGUGCAGUGGUCUCAUUAUUUACUAAAUCAGCAGAAGAGAGCAGGACAAUACUUGGGUGGCUUGAAAGGGUUAAAUGUUAAUUUCUUAUUUCUAAUUAGUCAAUGCGUCAUGUCAACAGAUCUCAUUUCUAAGACAGAGUUGAGGGCAUAUUUGAUCCUAAAAUGAGUUUUGAGAAAGUUUGAAAGAGGAAGAAAGUCAUGUCUAACCCUAUUAUUCCAUGCACAUUUUUUUAGAUUAUAGAUUUUAUUUCGAUCAUGAGGAAAGAACAUGAUACAAAAGUCGAACCAAAGACAACAAUCCAGAUAGAGCAUAACAAAGGGAGUCACUUUUUCACAUUACAGUCUAAUAAACAUGAAUAUCUGAGAUGGAACCUGUUUCUGAUGGACAUAAAGAAAUAAAAAGAUGUUAAUUUCAGGACAAGUUUUAUAUUAAUGUCAGAAUCAGUAUUAAACUGCUUUAUUCUUUACAUCAAAACAGAAUUUACAACCCUGUCACUGUUAUUGAUUUGAUUUGAAAAAUUUGUUGUCAUUUGGAAAAGAUGGAUUUGACAUCAGCCUAUUUUAAGACACUGUCAAUCUGUCAGAUUAAUCAAUAGUGUUUGUGACACUAUAUUGAUUUUAUAACAGUCAAGCAAAGGAGUACUUUAGGGUUCAAUACUUGGUUCUUUUUUAUUUUCUAUCUGUAUGUUUUUUCCUACAUUUUUUACCUCAAUGUCUUGCAUUACCUUUACAUAAAUGUAGAAGGAUGUAUUGCCAUUUAUAAUUUAGUGAUAUCAGAACUAUCUGCUGUAUAAGAUCGAUGUCAUACAGUUUCGCUUGUGUAGUUCGGAGUCAUUUCUGAGUGUUUUUUCAGACCAUUUUAAUAGAGAUCUUUAUGGUACUGAUUCAUACCCUGAAGAUCCUUAUUACUCAUAACUAUCAGACCAUUUGGGGUAGUUUCCUUAUGUGAAUCUUGUCAGUUCUGGACCGGUGAUUUAAGGUGAUUGAUGUAUCUUGGAAAAUCUGAAGUACGCUAUUGAAAGUGGACAACGGUGUGUCAUCUCUUUUGGUACCGCUAAACAGAUAUCAAAAAAGUGAAAUUUCUCAGUAUUGUUGAAUUUAACUCCUCUGUGAUUUUGCUUGCUCAUUUACAGUUCCUCCUCUAAGUGAAAGGGACAGCGGAUAUCCGGACCAUGGGGUUGUAACGGGAAGCUCGGCAGCAUCAGCUACGGUAAAUGGACUAGAACAUGAGCUGUCUUGAGGUGCACCCAGAUUUCAACAUCUUCUUUACUUCUGCAAUUUUAGCUGUAGAUGACUGUGAAAACACAAAACUGACGUGCAGAAGUGACUUGCGGUCACUACGCAGCAAGUAUCACUGCCCAAAUCUUGUGCAACAUGAGGCGAUCUUGCAAGAUGGGCGUUAGGUUUAUUGUUGGAGAAAUACUCGAACAGGAUGGGUUCAUUUCAGCACUCUUGAGGUGUGCGGAGGCUUAAUCGAUACCUUAUGCAGAGGGAUUAACAGAUGUUUCCUCACUAAGAAGAGGGUCAAUUUACACAUGACUAUGUAAAUAAGUCCCGGUAUAAACUUCACUUAUUUGUUUUUUUUCUUUUGACUUCAGGAGCUUUUCUGUUUAAAAUAAAAUAGUUGGAAAGAAAAGUCUACCUAGAGAACAUGGAGAAUACAGUUUAAUUUUCUUUUAUAUUAUUCAGAGAAAAACAUCUAAAAGUGGCACCUGCUUUUCAAAAAUGAUCAAAUAUAUAACCUACAAUAUUGCAUUUAAUUGAUUAUCGUAACAACACAGAUAAAAGAAGUGGUCAAAUACAAAAAUGAAAUCAUUCAGAUAAAUGUGUCUCUGUCAUUUUACAGGUUAGAGACUGAAAAGUUAGAAUACAGGGAGAAUACAUCAUAAUAAAUUAAUAAAUGCAAAAUUUCACAGACUGAUCAUCUGAUUUAUAAAGUAUAAAAUGAUGAGACUAUAACUGUAGAUUUUUAAAAAAAAAAAAUUUCUCUCCAGCCAGGGAUGAAUAGAGGGGGAAAAAUAGUGAACUGAUCAAAGAUGAAAUCAAAACUCAAGCAAAAUACUGUACUUAAAUUUUCAUCAUAUUAAAAAAGUCAACUUUUAAAAAUCUGGCAUUUCAAAUAAUUAACUAACGUUUCCUCAAAGUGAUGGACAUGCAGUCCCGAAGCAUGAGGUCUCUCAGUCAUCGGAGUCACCUGACUUUUCAAAAGAAACACUUAGAGUCAUUAAAUCUCUUCUCAGUAUGUGAACCAACACUGAUUUAACUCCUCAACAAAGACAAGGAGACUUUAUUCAGGAUUAUGCCACUGAAGGACUUUAUACAAACUUUGAAAAAUAACGUUCAAGUGUUUCCAGGUGCAGAAGUUUGUCUCAAUACUGAAAGUUUUGCCCAUUCCUCUAUUCCUCAAACCCUGCUCUAAAAAAAUUCCUAGAUUACCAGACACACUCUGACACACUUCUUCAAUGUCGCUUACAUCCUGUUUUAUUCUUACAACAAGGCCUUGAAAACAGUUAAUAUUAGAGAAAUGAAAACUUGUCUGAUGCAAGGGAAAAGAUUAAUAUUCACACAAAUGUGCGCACAUCAAUUAAACCUGAAUAAAGGCCAAAAAGAGUUCAGUGAAACUUGCCAUGCAUGAAAACUACAGCUUGUGUAACAGCUGUAAAAACAUUCCUACGUAGCAACGAUUGAUUGAUUACAGAUUUUUCUCAGUUGAUACCAAAAUUGAUGAUGAGGGAGUCGCUCAUCUGAUGGCCAAUCUGUAAACAUCACAAACAACCAGUGCAAAAAUGCUGAACUUAAGUGAAUACUUGAUUUAUUCAACAUUUAACUGCAUUAUUGUACAUAUCGAAAAACAAUUUAUAUCCAACACUUGUGGGUGACUGGUCUAGACUGGAAAUGCUGUCAUUGGGAGGUGAAAAGGUAGAUUUUCACUCAAACAAGAUCACUGUGAGUGCUUAUGCCAAGAUCAGGUGCGAAUGCCCUUAAUCUGCUUAAUUAGUUAGCCGCCCAGUGAAUCCCCAGCAUGUAGUUUCAUGUUCUAUGGGACGGGCAAUGGGAGGGAUGUCUGUAAAAUGGUCAGUCCAGGUAUUUAAUAAACAGGAUUAUGGUGGAUUAUUUCCUGUGGAGUCUUUGCUCCGAGUGUAGGAGUUGGAGUUUGUGGGGUCUUGCCAUGAGUGAGGGUAAAAUGGAUUGUAAGAUUGACAAGUGCUGUUGCUGCAUCAACAAGCAUGCUGGUGUUGUACCAGCCCAUUGUGGUGAGUUGAAGCUUUUAAAUUUACCAGCUAAUCCUCACCUGUGUUUAUGAGUUUUGGGUAGUGACCAAAAGAAUGAGAUUUCAGGUACGAGCAGCCAAAAUAAGUUGUCUGGGCUCGGCCUGAGAUGAGAUAAAGAGCUGAGAAAUCCUCAGAGUAGACCUGAUGCACCUUUGAAUCGGAAGGAGCAUUCUUAAGGUGGUUCGGUGUUUGAUCAGGAUGCCUGCCUUUGUAAAUCUUCAAGGAACACCCAACUAGGAGCAGCUGGAAAACGUUACUAAGGAGAGUGUGUCCGGGCUGACUUGUCACCGCUGCUUUUGUGACCCAGCCACCGAUUAUGUGUUUUCAUAUGUAGUUUUGUUUCAUAGUUUGUGAGUCAGCCUCCUGUUACACAAUCAACAGUCAGACAGUCUAUGAACACGGUAGACAAAGUGAUGAAAGUGCUCAAGAUUGAAAGAGUAACUCGAAUCGAAAACACAUUUGAAGAUUACCAACAGUAAAAAUCACCACGGAUUCAAAUAAAAGUUCAAAUAAAACUUAAAGUUGCUGUGAGCAACUUUUGGUUUGUGUCAAUAUUGGCUGUGAUACCUUUUUUGAAAGUCAUUAAGAGGCAUCAGUAUCAGUUUCAGUCUGUUUCUCAGCUAUUUAAAAACUCCUUAUAGUGCCUUUAAGAUAAAGAUGUUUCAUCACAGAGAGCCAGUUUGGUGUAGAGCAGGGUCAUUCAACUUAAACAGCAGCUGGUCCAUAUCAGAAUACUUGGGAACUUUUGAUCAUAUAAUUUUGUCAAGUAAUGGCAAAAUUCAGCUCAAAUACUUUAUAAUAUUUACAGAUUUUGAUGUAAUGUUUUCCUCUUGGUGAUAUUUAAACUUUAACUCAUUGGUUCAUCACUUGUAGCAGCUGGCAAAGUUAAUAAUUUAAUUGAAAAUAUUAUAAUAAUGCUUUAUUUUUGUCAGUAUUGAUCCCACUAUGAUCAUUUAUUUCUUACAUGGCGUCAUGUCACUGAAAAAAAUAAAACGCCAAAUAAGUUUGAUAGAGCAGCCAAUCACAGUUUAGGUUGAGAAACACUGGAUCCACUUCCUCAGCAGUAUUCAUCAUACUGCAGAUAAACCUGACUGACAUGUAUGGGCAGCUUCUUCAGACCAUGACUGGUCCAGGGGCUUCAGGUUGAAUAGGCUUGGUCUCGAAGUCAAGGCACGUACCUCACAGUCAUCUUUGUCGAGGUUGUUGGUUUGAUCCUCGGCCUUGACUCUUGGCUGCACGUUCUUGCUCUUUAUACUUAACACUUUCUGUCUUUCCUCUUAUGUCCUAUCCAAUUCAGGAAACAGCUCCCCAAUAUAACUCAACAAAAAGGUUCCUUCAGUAUAAAUAAAAUUCAUGAACGGAAACGGAAAUGAAAUUCAGGAUGUGUUGAACUUGUGUGAUUGAAUAUAAUUCAGAUAAAACUCUGUGAAGUGUUUUCUUCAAUCAUGUAACUGCCUGCAAAACCGCCUCAGGAGAAAGAUCAAAACAUGGGAAAACAGAUUUUUUCUUUAGACAAGCUGUUACAGUAAGACGUACAGUCAACACACAAAGAAUCCCUGACAGUACACUCAGUAAAUCACAGAUAGCGGAUGAUAUUGUAGUACUCAUAUGUGGGCUUUGACAUGUAGUGAUUACUCAAUAGGAAGUGGGACGUGUGGAUGAUGGUAGUAGCAGUGAAAAUGUUCAUCACCCACUCUCUCUUCAAAUGUGACAGUCCUCACGUUCACUGCAUCUUACCUUUCACCUCAAUCCAAAAAAAAAAGUUGUUGUUCAAAAUCAAACAAAAACAUCAAUGACGAGUAUGUGCGUCUUUUGGUCACGGAUUUAGCGUUGCAUCAGCAAACCCACCACACCUCGGAAGCAGCGGAUGGUCCCCAGUUACUGCGAAGACAACAUAAACAAUCAGCCUAAAAGAACACGGUGGAGACUUCUGUGGUUUGACAUGGAGGUCGAGUUUUGUUUACAUGAUGUGUCAACGUAGUCAACACCAUCACCUCGGUGUUGAGAGGAAGGAAGUGCACACGGGGGGAAGCACCAGCGCAAACCUCGAAGCAUUUAUCCGCCAUGACCUAUAUAUGCAUGAACUUAGCCUAUGACAGCCGAGGGACUGGAUGUCACAGUGAUGUCUGUAACGGUUUGUCCCCCCACAGCAGAAGAGGGGGGACAGGAACAGGAAGAGGAACUGCUCACGGGUGAAUGUCAUAACAGACGCAAAGCAAAGACAUCAGACAUCAGAUCCUAGUUAGGGACGUGCAGUUUAAUGCAAACAACAAAACCGAUGUGAUGUGCUGAUAGAACAAUCUGAUAUAUCACAAAGAAGCAACACCUGCCUGUGUUUAAUUCUCCUGAUGGGAGGAGUUUUUGGUUAUGACUGAGACUGAAAUGAACGAUAAUGUCAUUUUUCUUUUCUUUUAACCUAUAAAGCAAAUAAGUCCAUCAGCAUGUAGACUGUACAGGUAUUCUUAAUGCCUCAAACCACAUGCUGUCAGAUGAUGUGGCUAAUAAUGUUGCAGAAACUGAAUUAUAGGUAUUUCGCUGAGUGAUUUUAUUGAUUUAAGAAGCAGGAUGCCUUUUUUAGAAGUCACACCUACAUAUGAACAGGACAAAAUCAGCAAAGAAAUAAGUGGUACCACUUCAUCCACAGGGGGCACCAGAAUCAACAUAAACCAAGAGUUGCUCUCAGAAGCUUUAUGUGAGAGAUAAGUGUAGGUUUAUGCAAUUUUGGAGGAAGUACUCCUCCACUUUAACACUAAUGUGACAACUAAAAUAUGCCUCAUGCUUGCAGACUCAUUUGUGUGUUAAAAAUCUGCAAAGUUUACUUUUAAAGUGCUUUACAACAAAACAUUAACAACAUCAAGAGCAUUAAAAAAUAUAAGACAAGGUAAAAGUCAUGUUAAGAUCAGAUGUACAAAAUGUACAAAAGAAUAGGAUCAUCAAACGAAAAGAAAAAUGUGACACUAGGCUGAACAAAAGGCAAAACAAAGUGAGGGGAGCUCUUCACCCAUUUGUCAAACAGCUACAAUGUGCCUGUCUGUCAGGUAUCUCAGUCAUGCCCCUGUGAACGUAAAGGGAGAUUCAUAUUCAAAGGUCUUUUUUUCCAUGCGUGCUUGUGAAAAUACCAAAAUGACACAAUAUUUUCUGCUAAGCAAUUGAUCCUGAACAGUUGCCUGCAGUAUUUUUGAGGUAGAGACACAACUUGUCCAAAAUAUACCGUCAGAAAAUCUGCAUUAGCACCUGGAAUCACAGAUCAUGGCCUUGAGCUGCCCCUGAAACCAACACAGAGAUGCUGUAAUGGUGAGGUUCUCUAUCCCAACACUUGACAAAUCAUGCCUGUAACUGUAAAUUGUAAUUGAAAUACUUUAACACAUGAUUAAUUAAGAUGCAGUAAUAUCUUGAGAGUUGUACCCCUGUAAGACUGGGAAGAUUUAACAGCACCUAUAUUAUACACAGUAUGGUAGCUCUUACAGGUGAGAAAUGCUAAAUGAUAAAAUAUCACAGAUUAAUUUUCAAUAAGCCAAAGUGCCACUUUGACAGGUAGGUAUGUGUGUUUUAUAGAGCAAUUAAGUGUCUUUGGUGCAAUGUGUAUUUUAACUCCAUUAAAUACAGUUUUCAGAGCAGCACCUGAGCAGAUGUACUGAGAUCUCUUUUUCUAAUCUACAGGUUGAUCUAAAGCUCUGUCUUUGCUUCAAUGACUCCCCCAGCUUUCUGAAGAUUAGUGACGAUAAGGGCAAGAAAAAACAUGGUACACCUGACAGUUUACUCCCUCUUCCUGGUAUCAGCCUUCCAUUGUAUACCCCACGGUGUGGAUGUAUGAGGUGAGUCAGAUUUUGCAGAGUCACACAUGGAAAUAUCUGACUCCUCGGGUGUUUAGGAAUUUCCUGAUCCUAUCACUUUACUUCUUACAGAAAAAAAAAAGAGACUUACAGUCACAGAUCGCUCCACCCCCUCAACAGCUGGCCAGCUAUUGGGAAGUUCCAGGUUAAUAACUAAACUCAGGCCACAUGCUGAACGAGUCAGCCGGGCAGGGCAGAUUGAUUGGGAGUGUGGAGUCAGCAAUGUGCACUAUUUGGCUGAGUAAGGAGCCACUGCAGGAUAACACACAGUCCAGCUUCAUGUUUGCUUAAGUCACUUUUUAAGACAUUUUUCUUUUUCUAGUUUAAAAAAUGAAGAAAAACAAAGUAAUUCCAUAUGUAGGUUUGAUAGUUUUCAUAUUCAAAUAAAACUAAAAUGAAUUUCAAAAUGACAAAGUUCUUCAAAACAGUCUGAGUCACAAUAAGACAGCGUCUAGAAACAAAAGGAUCCACUGUGUCUUUAAGACAACUUCCGGUCACACCUUGGUUGUAGUUUUCCUAAUGCAAUUGAGCGCAGCAUGCACCAUCAUGUCUGUUUGACGUCAGCAGAGCGUUUGGAGGGAGUGCUAUUACUCACUCUGUUUGAGUUGCAUUCCUGUACACCAAGUACAAAUGCCGGCCCCUAUUUCCCAAACAGGAAGUCCCAGCCAA
Non-coding RNA from Xyrichtys novacula (pearly razorfish), 10288 nucleotides. The record is from the annotation of a GenBank genome assembly. NCBI's taxonomy places the organism in Eukaryota, Metazoa, Chordata, Actinopteri, Labriformes, Labridae.